GCCCAGCUAGCUUAGUCAGUAGAGCAUGAGACUCUUAAUCUCAGGGUCGUGGGUUCGAGCUGCACGUUGGGCG
Molecule: non-coding RNA, 73 nt
Organism: Danio rerio (zebrafish)
Lineage: Eukaryota; Metazoa; Chordata; Actinopteri; Cypriniformes; Danionidae
Source: Rfam